AUACGUAGGGGGCGAGCGUUGUCCGGAAUGAUUGGGCGUAAAGGGCGCGUAGGCGGCCCGGUAAGUCUGGAGUGAAAGUCCUGUUUUUAAGAUGGGAAUUGCUUUGGAUACUGUCGGGCUUGAGUGCAGGAGAGGUAAGUGGAAUUCCCAGUGUAGCGGUGAAAUGCGUAGAGAUUGGGAGGAACACCAGUGGCGAAGGCGACUUACUGGCCUGUAACUGACGCUGAGGCGCGAAAGUGUGGGGAGCAAACAGGAUUAGAGACCCUGGUAGUCCACACUGUAAACGAUGAAUGCUAGGUGUAGGGGGUAUCGACCCCUUCUGUGCCGCAGUCAACACAAUAAGCAUUCCGCCUGGGGAGUACGGCCGCAAGGUUGAAACUCAAAUGAAUUGGCGGGG
This 397-nucleotide ribosomal RNA is filed under the name uncultured bacterium. RNAcentral's name for it is "partial 16S ribosomal RNA". It matches the Rfam family "Bacterial small subunit ribosomal RNA", at positions 523 to 918 of the family's 1533-position model. The record is from RNAcentral.